Molecule: long non-coding RNA, 913 nt
Organism: Argiope bruennichi
Lineage: Eukaryota; Metazoa; Arthropoda; Arachnida; Araneae; Araneidae
Exons: 3
Source: RefSeq, a predicted model, not a curated record
AGGAAGUAGCUGUAUCUGUCAAACAAAGUAUUUACGAAAUUCCAGGUGCACCGCGAAUACUUUCGAUCUCUGUUUCAAAUUCAAACUACAAAUCUCAAAUAAUCCUAGAACACUUUUAUUCUACAGUGGAUUGUCAGACAAAGAUGAUUUGGUGAGUGUCGGUGAAAAUGUAUUUUUAAGAAAAGUUCUUUUCAAUGCAUAUAAAAAUUUCAACAAGCAUCCAUCGUUCUAAUUGCACGUUUGGAUGAGGAGUAACCUCGAAAUUUCUACUGAACUCAAGAAGAAGCAAUACGUCUAUCGAUUUAAUUCUGACUAGAGACUCGUCUCUUAUCAUUACAUCUCAGAUUAAAUGCUUCAGUGAUAGUGAAGGCAGAUAAAGCCAAAACAUGGACAGCAUCUCCACACUCAUUUUCUCGGCUCUCCUUCUGACAUCGGCGAUUCUGCUCAUCAUCUUCACAUCAAAAAUCGUCACGAAGCUGAUAUUCGUGCGAAGGUGGGAUUCUCCGUUCGCCUGCUUGCAGCACGCCUCUCCUGACAUUCGUCUCUACCUAGCCAUGACGCCAGGGCAGCAUCCUUAUUUUCGAGUACUGGAGAUAUAUGAACAAAAGAUAGGCGGUUUCGCCACCAGCAUAGAGGACGUCAGUGAAAAGGAAAAACAGAGUUUGAUACCUUGAAAAUGGAAGUGCUAAUUAAGAGAUUUCUAAAGACCGUCAAGAACUCUUCCUCUUGAUCGCUUGCCUCUGCCAAUAACUUUCGUUAUCCUUUGUCUAAUUUUUCCCUUUUAUUAGGAAAAUAAACAUUUUCACUCAUAGAUAAUAAUGAUGCUUUAUUGCAAACUACUCACUUUUGGCAACAAAGUGAUUCAUUGAAAAUAUUGGUUGUAUUGAAUUGUGGUUAAAUCUCUUGUGCUUCA